CAGUCGCCGCGGGAAUACAGAGGGUGCGAGCGUUAAUCGGAUUUACUGGGCGUAAAGCGUGCGUAGGCGGCUUCUUAAGUCGGAUGUGAAAUCCCUGAGCUUAACUUAGGAAUUGCAUUCGAUACUGGGAAGCUAGAGUAUGGGAGAGGAUGGUAGAAUUCCAGGUGUAGCGGUGAAAUGCGUAGAGAUCUGGAGGAAUACCGAUGGCGAAGGCAGCCAUCUGGCCUAAUACUGACGCUGAGGUACGAAAGCAUGGGGAGCAAACAGGAUUAAAUACCCCUGUCCCUGUCUCUUAUACACA
Molecule: ribosomal RNA, 301 nt
Filed under: uncultured bacterium
Lineage: Bacteria
Description: partial 16S ribosomal RNA
Rfam family: Bacterial small subunit ribosomal RNA
Source: RNAcentral